GCGCCGGUGCCGUCUACACCUGCGCGCUGUCUGUUGGCAUGCCGCCCGACACGGCACGGGGCGGUCCAGACGAGAGGA
Molecule: non-coding RNA, 78 nt
Filed under: bovine gut metagenome
Description: aspS RNA
Rfam family: aspS RNA
Source: RNAcentral